AACGAACGCUGGCGGCAUGCCUAACACAUGCAAGUCGAACGAGACCUUCGGGUUUAGUGUCGCACGGGUGCGUAACGCGUGGGAACCUGCCCUUAGGUUCGGACUAACUCCCCGAAAGGGGUGCUAAUACCGGAUAAUGUCUUCGGACCAAAGAUUUAUCGCCUUUGGAUGGGCCCGCGUUGGAUUAGCUAGUUGGUAGGGUAAAAGCCUACCAAGGCGACGAUCCAUAGCUGGUCUGAGAGGAUGAUCAGCCACACUGGGACUGAGACACGGCCCAGACUCCUACGGGAGGCAGCAGUGGGGAAUAUUGGAAAAUGGGCGAAAGCCUGAACCAGCAAUGCCGCGUGAGUGAUGAAGGCCUUAGGGUUGUAAAGCGCUUUUACCCGGGAUGAUAAUGACAGUACCGGGAGAAUAAGCUCCGGCUAACUCCGUG
RNAcentral lists this ribosomal RNA (433 nucleotides) under uncultured bacterium. RNAcentral describes it as "partial 16S ribosomal RNA". It matches the Rfam family "Bacterial small subunit ribosomal RNA", at positions 29 to 507 of the family's 1533-position model. The record is from RNAcentral.